UACAGGGGGGGCAAGCGUUGUUCGGAAUUACUGGGCGUAAAGGGUCUGUAGGUGGCCAACUAAGUCAGACGUGAAAUCCCUCAGCUUAACUGGGGAACUGCGUCUGAUACUGGAUGGCUUGAGUGUGGGAGAGGAAUGCGGAAUUCCAGGUGUAGCGGUGAAAUUCGUAGAUAUUCGGAAGAACACCAGUGGCGAAGGCGACUUACUGGACACAUAUUGACGCUGAGGUGCGAAAGCGUGGGGAGCAAACAGG
RNAcentral lists this ribosomal RNA (253 nucleotides) under uncultured bacterium. RNAcentral describes it as "partial 16S ribosomal RNA". It matches the Rfam family "Bacterial small subunit ribosomal RNA", at positions 524 to 776 of the family's 1533-position model. The record is from RNAcentral.